AUUGAACGCUGGCGGCAUGCCUUACACAUGCAAGUCGAACGGUAACGGGCCUUCGGGUGCCGACGAGUGGCGAACGGGUGAGUAAUGCAUCGGAACGUACCUUUCAGUGGGGGGAUAACGUAGCGAAAGUUACGCUAAUACCGCAUAUUCUGUGAGCAGGAAAGCAGGGGAUCGCAAGACCUUGCGCUGAUUGAGCGGCCGAUGUCAGAUUAGCUAGUUGGUGAGGUAAAAGGCCUCACCAAGGCGACGAUCUGUAGCGGGUCUGAGAGGAUGACUCCGCCACACUGGAACUGAGACACGGUCCAGACUCCGUACGGGAGGCAGCAGGUGGG
This 332-nucleotide ribosomal RNA is filed under the name uncultured bacterium. RNAcentral's name for it is "bacterial SSU rRNA". It matches the Rfam family "Bacterial small subunit ribosomal RNA", at positions 30 to 358 of the family's 1533-position model. The record is from RNAcentral.